AAGUCAAACUAAUCUGAUCUCUCUUCAUCUCCUGACUUAAUUUAUUGAAUAAAAUAAGAUUCUUACGGAACAACCACGGUCUUCCUUCCAAAAUUGACUCCAAAUCUUCUUCUAAUUCAAAAACUAUCAAGUUUAGAUUUUGCCCUACCCUCUGAAUCUCAAACUUUUUCUUGGUCUUCCAAAUACUCCUCAUCUGUGCCCUAAAGCUUU
RNAcentral lists this long non-coding RNA (210 nucleotides) under Gossypium raimondii (Peruvian cotton). Its description in RNAcentral is "long non-coding RNA (GRAI_LNC004193)". Lineage: Eukaryota; Viridiplantae; Streptophyta; Magnoliopsida; Malvales; Malvaceae. The record is from RNAcentral.